ACGAACGCUGGCGGCAUGCCUAACACAUGCAAGUCGAACGAGAAAGUUCCUUCGGGAGCGAUUAAAGUGGCGCAAGGGUGAGUAUCACGUGAAUAAUCUGCCCUCGAGAUCGGAAUAACAUGGUGAAAACUAUGCUAAUACCGGAUAAGACCACAUUUCAUAAGAAAUGCGGUAAAAGGAGUCUCAAUCUUCACUCGAGGAUGAGUUCGCGCAACAUUAGCUUGUUGGUGAGAUAAAAGCUCACCAAGGCUACGAUGUUUAGCCGGCCUGAGAGGGUGAACGGCCACACUGGAACUGAGACACGGUCCAGACUCCUACGGGAGGCAGCAGUGGGGAAUAUUGCGCAAUGGGCGAAAGCCUGACGCAGCAACGCCCGUGUGAGCGAUG
RNAcentral lists this ribosomal RNA (387 nucleotides) under uncultured Nitrospina sp. Its description in RNAcentral is "bacterial SSU rRNA". It matches the Rfam family "Bacterial small subunit ribosomal RNA", at positions 29 to 410 of the family's 1533-position model. The record is from RNAcentral. Lineage: Bacteria; Pseudomonadati; Nitrospinota; Nitrospinia; Nitrospinales; Nitrospinaceae.